UACGGAGGGUGCGAGCGUUGUCCGGAAUCACUGGGCGUAAAGGGCGCGUAGGCGGCCUGGCAAGUCGAUGGUGAAAGCCCGAGGCUCAACUUCGGGUCGGCCACUGAUACUGCUGGGCUUGAGUCGACUAGAGGCAGAUGGAAUUCCGGGUGUAGCGGUGGAAUGCGUAGAGAUCCGGAAGAACACCGGUGGCGAAGGCGGCGAGCUGGUCCAUUACUGACGCUGAGGCGCGAUAGCGUGGGGAGCAACAGGAUUA
RNAcentral lists this ribosomal RNA (256 nucleotides) under uncultured bacterium. RNAcentral describes it as "partial 16S ribosomal RNA". It matches the Rfam family "Bacterial small subunit ribosomal RNA", at positions 524 to 780 of the family's 1533-position model. The record is from RNAcentral.